Molecule: transfer RNA, 65 nt
Filed under: Procapritermes sp. G TB-2017
Lineage: Eukaryota; Metazoa; Arthropoda; Insecta; Blattodea; Termitidae
Description: tRNA-Thr
Rfam family: tRNA
About the family: Transfer RNA (tRNA) molecules are approximately 80 nucleotides in length. Their secondary structure includes four short double-helical elements and three loops (D, anti-codon, and T loops).
Source: RNAcentral
GUUUUAAUAAUUUAACAAAAAUAUUGGUCUUGUAAACCAAAUAUAAGGGAUAACCUUUUAAAGCU